This 243-nucleotide ribosomal RNA is filed under the name uncultured bacterium. RNAcentral's name for it is "partial 16S ribosomal RNA". It matches the Rfam family "Bacterial small subunit ribosomal RNA", at positions 976 to 1223 of the family's 1533-position model. The record is from RNAcentral.
UACCCUUGACAUGUACGGAAGUCCGCCGAGAGGUGGAUGUGCUCGAAAGAGAACCGUAACACAGGUGCUGCAUGGCUGUCGUCAGCUCGUGUCGUGAGAUGUUGGGUUAAGUCCCGCAACGAGCGCAACCCUUGUCCCUAGUUGCUACGCAAGAGCACUCUAGGGAGACUGCCGGUGACAAACCGGAGGAAGGUGGGGAUGACGUCAAGUCCUCAUGGCCCUUAUGGGUAGGGCUUCACACGU